AGUCCUGUGGUGAAACCACGUCGGAUUGCAAAUCCGAAGAUGCAGACUAAAACCUGCCGGGGCUU
RNAcentral lists this transfer RNA (65 nucleotides) under Talismania antillarum. Its description in RNAcentral is "tRNA-Cys". It matches the Rfam family "tRNA". From Rfam's summary of the family: Transfer RNA (tRNA) molecules are approximately 80 nucleotides in length. Their secondary structure includes four short double-helical elements and three loops (D, anti-codon, and T loops). Further hydrogen bonds mediate the characteristic L-shaped molecular structure. tRNAs have two regions of fundamental functional importance: the anti-codon, which is responsible for specific mRNA codon recognition, and the 3' end, to which the tRNAs corresponding amino acid is attached (by aminoacyl-tRNA synthetases). tRNAs cope with the degeneracy of the genetic code in two manners: having more than one tRNA (with a specific anti-codon) for a particular amino acid; and 'wobble' base-pairing, i.e. permitting non-standard base-pairing at the 3rd anti-codon position. Lineage: Eukaryota; Metazoa; Chordata; Actinopteri; Alepocephaliformes; Alepocephalidae. The record is from RNAcentral.